UUUCCGUAGGUGAACCUGCGGAAGGAUCAUUAACGAGUUAGAGUCUUUUAGGCCCGACCUCCCAACCCUAUGUUUAUUGAACCUCUGUUGCUUCGGCGGACCCGUCUCACGCCCGCCGGAGGACCGCUACAAGGCGUCCUCUGGCCAGCGUCCGCCGAUGGCCAACCCACUAAACUCUGAAUGAUUCGUGUCAUAUGUCUAAGUCUAUGAUUAAAUUAAAGCAAAACUUUCAACAACGGAUCUCUUGGUUCUG
Molecule: unclassified non-coding RNA, 253 nt
Filed under: plant metagenome
Description: partial contains small subunit ribosomal RNA, internal transcribed spacer 1, and 5.8S ribosomal RNA
Source: RNAcentral